AUUGAACGCUGGCGGCAUGCCUUACACAUGCAAGUCGAACGGCAGCGCGGGAGCAAUCCUGGCGGCGAGUGGCGAACGGGUGAGUAAUAUAUCGGAACGUGCCCAGUAGUGGGGGAUAGCCCGGCGAAAGCCGGAUUAAUACCGCAUACGACCUGAGGGUGAAAGCGGGGAUCGCAAGACCUCGCGCUAUUGGAGCGGCCGAUAUCAGAUUAGCUAGUUGGUGGGGUAAAGGCCUACCAAGGCAACGAUCUGUAGUUGGUCUGAGAGGACGACCAGCCACACUGGGACUGAGACACGGUCCAGACUCCUACGGGAGGCAGCAGUAGGGAAUAUUGGACAAUGGGCGCAAGCCUGAUCCAGCCAUGCCGCGUGAGUGAAGAAGGCCCUCGGGUUGUAAAGCUCUUUUGUCCGGAAGAAAGCACUGGGUUAAUACCCCGGUGUCCUGACGGUA
Molecule: ribosomal RNA, 451 nt
Filed under: uncultured bacterium
Lineage: Bacteria
Description: bacterial SSU rRNA
Rfam family: Bacterial small subunit ribosomal RNA
Source: RNAcentral